This 617-nucleotide ribosomal RNA is filed under the name uncultured crenarchaeote. Its description in RNAcentral is "bacterial SSU rRNA". It matches the Rfam family "Archaeal small subunit ribosomal RNA", at positions 327 to 946 of the family's 1478-position model. Lineage: Archaea; Thermoproteati; Thermoproteota. The record is from RNAcentral.
GGGGCGCAGCAGUUGCGAAAACUCCGCAAUGCACGAAAGUGUGACGGGGCUACCCCGAGUGCCGUCCGCUGAGGAUGGCUUUUCCCCGGUGUAAGGAGCCGGGGGAAUAAGGAGAGGGCAAGUCUGGUGUCAGCCGCCGCGGUAAUACCAGCUCUCCGAGUGGUAGGGAUGAUUAUUGGGCUUAAAGCGUCCGUAGCCUGCCCUUCAAGUCUCUCGUUAAAUCCAACGAUUCAAUCGCUGGACUGCGGGAGAUACUGUUAGGCUAGGAGGCGGGAGAAGCCGACGGUAUUUCCGGGGUAGGGGUAAAAUCCUAUAAUCCCGGGAGGACCACCAGUGGCGUAGGCGGUCGGCUAGCACGCGCUCGACGGUGAGGGACGAAAGCUGGGGGAGCAAACCGGAUUAGGUACCCGGAUAGUCCCAGCUGUAAACGAUGCGGGCUAGGUGUUGGAGUGGCCACGAGCCACUUCAGUGCCGCAGGGAAGCCAUUAAGCCCGCCGCCUGGGGAGUACGGCCGCAAGGCUGAAACUUAAAGGAAUUGGCGGGGGAGCACCACAAGGGGUGAAGCUUGCGGUUCAAUUGGAGUCAACGCCGGGAACCUUACCGGGGGCGACAGCAGA